Non-coding RNA from Paracoccus sediminis, 52 nucleotides. Lineage: Bacteria; Pseudomonadati; Pseudomonadota; Alphaproteobacteria; Rhodobacterales; Paracoccaceae. The record is from Rfam.
CGGCGGGACACCCUUCCCCAACGAAGGGCUUUUAGCUGGAAGGCUGACAUGA